Molecule: ribosomal RNA, 444 nt
Filed under: uncultured bacterium
Lineage: Bacteria
Description: partial 16S ribosomal RNA
Rfam family: Bacterial small subunit ribosomal RNA
Source: RNAcentral
CUACGGGGUGCUGCAGUGGGGAAUAUUGCACAAUGGGCGAAAGCCUGAUGCAGCAACGCCGCGUGAGGGACGACGGCCUUCGGGUUGUAAACCUCUUUUAGCAGGGAAGAAGCGAAAGUGACGGUACCUGCAGAAAAAGCACCGGCUAGCUACGUGCCAGCAGCCGCGGUAAUACGUAGGGUGCAAGCGUUGUCCGGAAUUAUUGGGCGUAAAGAGCUCGUAGGCGGUUUGUCGCGUCUGCUGUGAAAAUCCGAGGCUCAACCUCGGACCUGCAAUGGGUACGGGCAAACUAGAGUGCGGUAGGGGAGAUUGGAAUUCCUGGUGUAGCGGUGGAAUGCGCAGAUAUCAGGAGGAACACCAAUGGCGAAGGCAGAUCUCUGGGCCGUAACUGACGCUGAGGAGCGAAAGCGUGGGGAGCGAACAGGAUUAGAUACCCGCGUAGUC